UACAGAGGUGGCAAGCGUUGUUCGGAAUUACUGGGCGUAAAGGGCGCGUAGGCGGUUCGAUAAGUCCCGUGUGAAAUCCCUCGGCUCAACUGAGGAACUGCACGGGAAACUGACGGGCUUGAGUUCGGGAGAGGGAAGCGGAAUUCCGGGUGUAGCGGUGAAAUGCGCAGAUAUCAGGAAGAACACCCGUGGCGAAGGCGGUUCUCUGGGACGGUACUGACGCUGAGACGCGAAAGCAUGGGGAGCGAACAGG
This 253-nucleotide ribosomal RNA is filed under the name uncultured bacterium. RNAcentral's name for it is "partial 16S ribosomal RNA". It matches the Rfam family "Bacterial small subunit ribosomal RNA", at positions 524 to 776 of the family's 1533-position model. The record is from RNAcentral.